Molecule: ribosomal RNA, 532 nt
Filed under: uncultured bacterium
Lineage: Bacteria
Description: bacterial SSU rRNA
Rfam family: Bacterial small subunit ribosomal RNA
Source: RNAcentral
UGGGGAAUAUUGCACAAUGGGCGCAAGCCUGAUGCAGCGACGCCGCGUGGGGGAUGACGGCCUUCGGGUUGUAAACUCCUUUCGCCAGGGACGAAGCGUUUUGUGACGGUACCUGGAGAAGAAGCACCGGCUAACUACGUGCCAGCAGCCGCGGUAAUACGUAGGGUGCAAGCGUUGUCCGGAAUUACUGGGCGUAAAGAGCUCGUAGGUGGUUUGUCGCGUCGUCUGUGAAAUUCCACAGCUUAACUGUGGGCGUGCAGGCGAUACGGGCAUAACUUGAGUACUGUAGGGGUAACUGGAAUUCCUGGUGUAGCGGUGAAAUGCGCAGAUAUCAGGAGGAACACCGAUGGCGAAGGCAGGUUACUGGGCAGUUACUGACGCUGAGGAGCGAAAGCAUGGGUAGCAAACAGGAUUAGAUACCCUGGUAGUCCAUGCCGUAAACGGUGGGCGCUAGGUGUAGGGGCCUUUUGGGGUUUCUGUGCCGUAGCUAACGCAUUAAGCGCCCCGCCUGGGGAGUACGGCCGCAAGGCUA